Long non-coding RNA from Peromyscus maniculatus bairdii (prairie deer mouse), 1577 nucleotides. RefSeq lists it as uncharacterized. The record is from RefSeq and is a predicted model, not a curated record. Lineage: Eukaryota; Metazoa; Chordata; Mammalia; Rodentia; Cricetidae.
AGUCAGCCUCGGGAGGGCUUUGUUAAGGGCCUCAAGUGUCACCUGUGUGAGGUAAGAAGAUAACUCAGUUGUUUCCUUGUCCAAUGAAAUCCAACUGAACCUCAGAAAAUGCACACACUCUAUAUUCAUCAAGUGGGAAGAAACUCAUGCAGUAUUGAAGCAUCCUGAGGAAGGGGAGUGUAAGCCUUAGGUGGUUUGAGCACAGAAUACCAGUGGGAAGAGUGGACACUGGGCAAGGGCUUAACCCAGAAGUGACUGAAGGAAGAGCAUUGGGAACACGGCCUCAGCAACCAUCACCGUGUGCAUGGGAGUCAGAGGCACACAUCUCACAAGGAAGGAGCAGCAGCCUGUGCACAUGACUUACAAAGCCCAUGAAGCCCAGAAAGUCACCAGGCCUCUCCCCAAGGCUAUGUAAGCAGUAGUAACUGCUGAGGAGGGGAGACUCUCAGGCCAGCAGAGGCCACCUGCAAGCCAUGCUGGGAGCCAGGACUGUAUCUUUCAUGAGUCAUCAUCCAUGCAAAGCUGGCCUUUUUGGUGAUGCAACUGCUUUUGAAUCCCCCAUGCUUCUAAGAGCUGAAGGCAUGGGAUGUCACACAGAGAGGAAGUUCUGUGAAGAUGGAGAUACAAACGAAAUGACAGCUGGGAGCCCAGAGAUGUCAAAGGUGGCAUCUACAGAUGCCAGAGAAAGAAUCAGACACAUCUCCCCCAGAGACUGCUAAGGAACCAGCCCUGACAGCGGGAACUAUCGGGGAGCAUGACUGGUUAUUGUGCCAUGAUGAAAUGGUGAGGUGCAGAGAGCCUGGAAGUGGUCAGACACUGAGCCCCAAGUAGGAAAACACAUCCAUUCUAAAAGACUCUUGCUCAGCUGCAGAUGUUGCCCUGAGAAGUCACCUUGCCUUAAGACCACUGUGGUUUUACUCUGGGUUCCCCAUGUGGUCUCCAAAUUUCUCCAUCUCUGUGUGUGGAUCUGUCUCUGUCUCUGUGGUGUGUGUGUGUGUGUGUGUGUGUGUGUGAGAGAGAGAGAGAGAGAGAGACAGAGAGAGAGACAGAGAGACAGAGAGACACAGAGAGACACAGAGACAGAGAGAGACACAGAGAGACACAGAGAGAGGCAGAGAACAAGCUAUGUAGCUCACUUUGCCCUAAAGCUUUAAGAACACAGUAGGAGCUUUAUUCACAGGCACAACAAAAUACCACUAUAGCCAUCUCUACCCUCUCUAGUCUCUCAGCCCUUAUGUCACACUUAGAGUCUCCUCUUCUACUUUCUCCCCAUCUCUACUGUGAGUCCAUCUUUCUUUCUAGAAGCUCCUGAUCUAAAUUCUCAUUGUUGCUCAAGAUUCCAACAUCACUCUCAAGUAGCUAUCCAAGCCAUUUCCUACCCAGCUUUGUUAAGAUGCCAGCCAUGCAGAUGAGCUCAGACUGUGGCACCAAGAGCAACAGGCUCCGCCUCUACCUCCUCUACCCAUGAUGACACACUUUAUGUUAUAAUUGUUCUUUUUCCUGUUCUAGUGUGUACUUCAGGAAGGAAGUGCACUUCGUAGUCUCCACCGUUAAAAAUAUGGUAUCAUCUGGGUGGU